This 468-nucleotide ribosomal RNA is filed under the name uncultured bacterium. RNAcentral's name for it is "partial 16S ribosomal RNA". It matches the Rfam family "Bacterial small subunit ribosomal RNA", at positions 28 to 507 of the family's 1533-position model. The record is from RNAcentral.
GACGAACGCUGGCGGCGUGCUUAACACAUGCAAGUCGAACGGAAAGGCCCUGCUUUUGUGGGGUGCUCGAGUGGCGAACGGGUGAGUAACACGUGAGUAACCUGCCCUUGACUUUGGGAUAACUUCAGGAAACUGGGGCUAAUACCGGAUAGGAGCUCCUGCUGCAUGGUGGGGGUUGGAAAGUUUCGGCGGUUGGGGAUGGACUCGCGGCUUAUCAGCUUGUUGGUGGGGUAGUGGCUUACCAAGGCUUCGACGGGUAGCCGGCCUGAGAGGGUGACCGGCCGCAUUGGGACUGAGAUACGGCCCAGACUCCUACGGGAGGCAGCAGUGGGGAAUAUUGCACAAUGGGCGGAAGCCUGAUGCAGCAACGCCGCGUGCGGGAUGACGGCCUUCGGGUUGUAAACCGCUUUCGCCUGUGACGAAGCGUGAGUGACGGUAAUGGGUAAAGAAGCACCGGCUAACUACGUG